CACUGCCAUCCUCACAUGGCAUUAGCCACCAUCCAGGAGUCAGUAUAGAGAUACAGUACAGGCCACUUUUCUCAUUCAGCAAUCUUUAGGGCUAGUUGGAUGGCUUUCAAUACUGAAAAC
Molecule: long non-coding RNA, 120 nt
Organism: Neopelma chrysocephalum (saffron-crested tyrant-manakin)
Lineage: Eukaryota; Metazoa; Chordata; Aves; Passeriformes; Pipridae
Exons: 3
Source: RefSeq, a predicted model, not a curated record